Spinacia oleracea (spinach) is the source of this 82-nucleotide non-coding RNA. NCBI's taxonomy places the organism in Eukaryota, Viridiplantae, Streptophyta, Magnoliopsida, Caryophyllales, Amaranthaceae. The record is from Rfam.
AGCCUAUUAGCUCAAUCGGUCGAGCAUUGUGUACUUGCUUGGCAUUGCACAAAGGAUGUAGGUUCAAAUCCUACAUAGGCUA